GACGAACGCUGGCGGCGUGCUUAACACAUGCAAGUCGAACGAAAAGAGGGAAAGAGCUUGCUCUUUCCGGAAUUGAGUGGCAAACGGGUGAGUAACACGUAAACAACCUGCCUUCAGGAUGGGGACAACAGACGGAAACGACUGCUAAUACCGAAUAAGUUCCAAGGGCCGCAUGGCCCAUGGAAGAAAAGGUGGCCUCUACCUGUAAGCUAUCGCCUGAAGAGGGGUUUGCGUCUGAUUAGCUGGUUGGAGGGGUAACGGCCCACCAAGGCGACGAUCAGUAGCCGGUCUGAGAGGAUGAACGGCCACACUGGAACUGAGACACGGUCCAGACUCCUACGGGAGGCAGCAGUGGGGAAUCUUCCGCAAUGGGCGAAAGCCUGACGGAGCAACGCCGCGUGAGUGAUGACGGCCUACGGGUUGUAAAACUCUGUGAUCCGGGACGAAAAGGCAGAGUGCGAAGAACAAACUGCAUUGACGGUACCGGAAAAGCAAGCCACGGCUAACUACGUG
This 513-nucleotide ribosomal RNA is filed under the name uncultured bacterium. RNAcentral describes it as "partial 16S ribosomal RNA". It matches the Rfam family "Bacterial small subunit ribosomal RNA", at positions 28 to 507 of the family's 1533-position model. The record is from RNAcentral.